This is a long non-coding RNA of Oncorhynchus masou masou (cherry salmon), 1614 nucleotides long. RefSeq lists it as uncharacterized. The record is from RefSeq and is a predicted model, not a curated record. The transcript has 3 exons. Lineage: Eukaryota; Metazoa; Chordata; Actinopteri; Salmoniformes; Salmonidae.
GUUACUGUAAAGAUGUUAGGAAAUGCGAGAUGUGCAGCAGCUAAAAUGCGGAGGAGCUCCUAGCACUAGGCAAAAAGUGGAUUUCGCGAAUUUUCAGUUUUUUGGAGUAGGCUACCUGCAACCGCACACAUACGUCUAUGAGAUACACGUUUCUUCCUAGGUUAAGGGUCUAAUUGUAAAAUAAAUGUGUUUGAUUGAAUAACUAGCCUAAUCUAACUGUCGUGGUCAUACAUCUGGACUCAUCAUCAUCAUCAUCAACACUUUGAAUUACAUAGGAAUAUUACUGUAGAAACUGGUUGCUAAGGGAACGAGACACCACCAUUAUCCUCUUGUUGUGUGACUGAGAGGCGGGAUUGGAAAAGUGCACGAGGAGGGGUGGGAAGCGGAGACGGAGCGUGGUUGAAAUUCCACCAAAUGGAUAAGAGGCAGACAAAGUUUGACGCGUUUAUGUUUUCAGUGGUUUGCCGACACGAAUGAACGAGUAAACGCUGCUUUUAGCCUAGUGGAAGUAUCACAAAUGAAUACCUCAGUAUUAUGUAUACCACUGCACUGAAUCUCCACGAGGGCACAAGUCCGCCUGACAAUUUCGCGUAGAGGCAGCGCGGGAGAGCUCACUUGUAGCCUGGCAGAUCACUGGGGUCAGGGCCUGUUCCAGAGGGAGCCAUAUAUCCUCCGCCUCGGACUCGUCAGAGUCGUGAAAGAAGAAAAAGUUUUCUGCUAGCCCGUGUUUGCGCGAGGACGUCCAUCGGGAGUUGGCCUGCAGGGACACCACCCUCACCUUCGACCAGCUGGUGGACCUGUCCAUUCGGCUGGAUAACCUGCUGGCUACCCGUGGACAUCCAGAUCGGGUUCUGCCGGUUCCAUCCCCCAGCACCGCCACUCCUGUGCCCAUGGAGCUAGGAGGGGCUGUGCGUAGGGAGACUGGAGGAGGUUCUGUCUCGUGCACCAUCUGUGGCCGCAGAGGUCACACUGCCAGGUCGGUUCUGGGUUGGUUCCUCUGGGGAUCAAGGCAGCAGGCAGGGCACUCUGGCUUCAUCCCAGGUGAGCCGGCACCAUUCUCACCCAGAGCCCUCUGUUGCACACAUGUUUCUGUAUGUUACUCUUCCUGUGUUUUCCCCGCAUUCCCAGCAUAAGGCACUCAUCGAUUCAGGCGCAGCUGGGAAUUUUAUAGUAGGAUCGUUCGCCCUUAGUUUAGGGAUCCCCAUUGUUCCCGUGGCUGUGCCCUUCCCCAUUCACACCUUAGAUAGUCGACCAUUAGGGUGGAGGCCACCGCUCCUCUAGCUAUGGUGACGCAGGGGGGUCACAAGGAGAGAAUCAGUCUCUUCCUCAUUGACUCUCCUGCAUUUCCCUUGGUGCUAGGCCUACCCUGGUUAGCUUGUCAUGACCCCACUGUUUCUUGGCAACGGAGGGCUCUCACAGGGUGGUCGCGAGAGUGCUCGGGGAGGUGUUUAUGGGUUUCUGUUGGUGGAAAGUCCAGACCAGGUCUCCACCGUGCGCAUUCCCCCUGAAUAUGCGGAUUUGGCUCUCGCCUUCUCCAAAAAGAAGAAUCAAUUACCGCAUUUCCACCUCGGGGGUGGAGAUGGAGAGUGACUGCAUUUCAGCCGUGUGUAACUG